AAGUGAUAAGAGAAUAUGCUCAUGAAAAGUUAUUGACCUGAAUGUUCGUCUGGAGGAUCAGACUGUUGCUAUGGAUAUUUUUAUCCAGAUCUCUUAAAGAAAACUUGUGUAAUCAUGUUUUGUGUGUUUCUCUAUCCACCUGUCUUUUGCCUUUCCCAAAACCUUUGAAUCUUUUGACAUAAACCUGGUACUUACUCUUGAGGUCAUACAAUGAAGCUUCUUAAUGUAGCGUGUGACUCAUAAAAUAAUUGCAAUUUAAGAAAAAAACACAUUCUUUUGUGCAAGAUGCAAAGCAGAACAUGGAAGAAAGUGCCAAAAAUGGGGGCUUCCAGCUUGGUGUUACAUGAUAACUGCUCGUGUGUACAUCUCCAGAUCAAGGGAACAGCAAUUGGGCGAAGAAGGGGAAAGUGACCUCACAUGCCCUGUAAGGAAGAGCAUUCAGGGAGAAAGAAAACAGCCAGUGAAAAUGAAAUGAGCUUCUCAGAAGUAAAAUCUAGUUAAAUAAAGGAACUGACAGUGAAACCAAUGUACCCUCAGCUCAAAGACACUACAGAGAAUGAAGGGAAGAAUUAUUAAGAACCAGUAUAAAAGCAAGAGACUCUGUGGUGCCAGGAUGGCAGAGGAAUAAAGCAAGAUUGUCCUACAUGAUAUCAGAAUUAUUUCAAAUGCUUCUGUAUGAGUCUGUCUGGAUUAAGAAGCGUUCACACAUGUGUUUAGAUGGAAUAUGAAGCACAGACCCAAGCACCGGGACUUCCUCUCCAAUACAGAAGAGUACAGAGACAGGGAAAGGAAACUCUUCCUGCCUUCAAUCACAGAGGUGGUGGGACACCAGCCAGCUGCAGGCAGAUGACUUCUUAUUUUGCAUUAGAUUCCAACCUUUUUGGAAGCCAGCAAUUUGUGGAAUCGGUGGAGAACAAGCACUUCCUCCUGAAUGCCCUCCUUGCUCAGCUGAACCGUAGACUCCAGCGUCUCCAGUUUUACAGAAAUUUACAGGAAUUUUCUCCUGCUCUUCAGCUGACAUUCAUUUUGAUGAGGAUUCCAUGGGAAUACUGGAUUGGCUGAAGAGAUUUUCACUGUACUGCCUUCCAGCACGUUACCUUUCUCCUCUAGGCUAUAGUUCAGCUGAUGUACAGCCAACCAGAGCCUUCUGUUUUUGCAAACCAUUUAAAAAAAAAACUCAAAAUUAUGUUAAAAAUACACAACAACUGGAUUUCCUUGGCUCCUCUUUCUCCUUGUUCCUUGAUAACAUCAAUAUUUCUCUCUCAUUUGCCGAUAACAGCACUCAGAGUUUCAAACACAUCUCACCUCUGGUUCUAAUUCACUGUUGAAAUAUGAGAGAAAUCUGUCUGUUAAAGAAAAGCAAGAAAGAAAUAAAAAACAGCACCUUGGAGUUUAU
This 1396-nucleotide long non-coding RNA is filed under the name Numida meleagris (helmeted guineafowl). RNAcentral's name for it is "lncRNA (ENSNMEG00000009280.1)". Lineage: Eukaryota; Metazoa; Chordata; Aves; Galliformes; Numididae. The record is from RNAcentral.